GAUGAAGAACGCAGCGAAAUGCGAUACGUAAUGUGAAUUGCAGAAUUCCGUGAAUCAUCGAAUCUUUGAACGCACAUUGCGCCCCCUGGUAUUCCGGGGGGCAUGCCUGUCCGAGCGUCAUUGCAACCUUCAAGCGCGGCUUGUGUGUUGGGUCUCGUCCCCCGUGGACGGGCCCGAAAGGCAGUGGCGGCGUCCCGACAUGGUGCCCGAGCGUAUGGGAAUCCUCUUCCGCUCGAAUCGGCCCAUGCGGCGCUGGUCGUAACCAAAUUUUUUACCGGUUGACCUCGGAUCAGGUAGGGAUACCCGCUGAACUUAAGCAUAUCAAUAAGCGGAGGA
This 336-nucleotide unclassified non-coding RNA is filed under the name soil metagenome. RNAcentral describes it as "partial contains 5.8S ribosomal RNA, internal transcribed spacer 2, and large subunit ribosomal RNA". The stretch from base 1 to 120 matches the Rfam family "5.8S ribosomal RNA", at positions 35 to 154 of the family's 154-position model. The record is from RNAcentral.